Molecule: long non-coding RNA, 603 nt
Organism: Acanthopagrus latus (yellowfin seabream)
Lineage: Eukaryota; Metazoa; Chordata; Actinopteri; Spariformes; Sparidae
Exons: 4
Source: RefSeq, a predicted model, not a curated record
GAUCAUCUGGUUUUAAGAAGCGAGCGAGCGUACAAGUAGUCUGAAACUUGAAGCCUCCAGCGCACAGACACUGAGAACAGACUCAAACAGUGAUGGAGGAGACAUCUUGUGUCCCGCACUUAAACUUGAGAAAUGAAAUAUAUUUGCACGUUCAUACAUUUUUUUUUUUUUUUUUUAAUCAGGGAGAAGUGGAUGUAAUUUCAGGGAUUUUAAUGAGGUUGUUACACUUUUUUCUGCAAAAAUCAGAAGAGAUACAGAAUCCAGUUCACGGCAACUACAUCUUGAGAAAUUCCACCUUAAAGACAUCACAAAAGUGAAGGGGACAGCUGUGGAGUUUCAAGUGACAAGGCUGCCGAGCCAGUGACCACAGUUCAAGUCUGCAUUUAAACUUACUUUGCCAACAUUUAUCCUGGCGAUCGGGUUGUUCAGUCUGACACUGCACCUGACGAGAUGCCCUCUUCCUUACCUCCCAUUCCCACGAAAGGUUCCUCCUCCCCUCCCCCCAAACCUCUCAGCCUCUUCGCCAGCUGAACAACAACAGGGUCCCUGCCUUGGUGACUGACAGCCUCCCUAAUUGUAUCCACUCACUCAUGACAAUUUGAU